GAGUUUGAUCAUGGCUCAGAACGUACGCUGGCGGCACGCCUAAUACAUGCAAGUCGAACGAAGUAGCAAUACUUAGUGGCAGACGGGUGAGUAACAUGUAGGUAUCUUCCCUAUGGUGAGGAAUAACACGAGGAAACUUGUGCUAAUACCUCAUAAGUCUUUACGGAGAAAGCUUUAUGCGCCAUUGGAUGAGCCUGCACUUGAUUAGUUUGUUGGUAGGGUAAUGGCCUACCAAGACUAUGAUCAAUAGCUGAUUUGAGAGGAUGAUCAGCCACAUUGGGACUGAGACACGGCCCAAACUCCUACGGGAGGCAGCAGUAGGGAAUCUUGCACAAUGGGGGAAACCCUGAUGCAGCGAUGCCGCGUGAGUGAAGAAGGCCUUUGGGUUGUAAAGCUCUUUCGUCGGGGAAGAAAAUGACUGUACCCGAAUAAGAAGGUCCGGCUAACUUCGUGCCAGCAGCCGCGGUAAUACGAAGGGACCUAGCGUAGUUCGGAAUUACUGGGCUUAAAGAGUUCGUAGGCGGUUAAAAUAGUUGGUGGUGAAAUCCCAGAGCUUAACUCUGGAACUGCCAUCAAAACUUUUUAGCUAGAGUAUGAUAGAGGAAAGCAGAAUUUCUAGUGUAGAGGUGAAAUUCGUAGAUAUUAGAAAGAAUACCAAUUGCGAAGGCAGCUUUCUGGAUCAUUACUGACGCUGAGGAACGAAAGCAUGGGUAGCGAAGAGGAUU
This 725-nucleotide ribosomal RNA is filed under the name uncultured bacterium. Its description in RNAcentral is "bacterial SSU rRNA". It matches the Rfam family "Bacterial small subunit ribosomal RNA", at positions 9 to 779 of the family's 1533-position model. The record is from RNAcentral.